Long non-coding RNA from Pipra filicauda (Wire-tailed manakin), 4516 nucleotides. RefSeq lists it as uncharacterized. The record is from RefSeq and is a predicted model, not a curated record. The transcript is spliced from 3 exons. NCBI's taxonomy places the organism in Eukaryota, Metazoa, Chordata, Aves, Passeriformes, Pipridae.
GGAAGUCUUUGUUCCGCGGGGCCUCGGAACAAAGGAGCGGAGGGACCGAGAGGGGGCCAGGUGGGGGCCGGGACCGCGGCCGGCGCUGUCCCUGGUGCUGGCAGCGUCAUCGAACUCCCGACGCGGGCGGCCAGGCCACCUGCUCCCGGUCGUGCAGACACGUCCCGGUGGCACCGGGUGGCCCUCGUGAUGGGAGCGUCCCCGGCGGAAGAAAACCUAGCGUCCCUGAGGGUAGGGCAGGAGAGCGGUUUGGCCUGCGCGGUGCACAGACGCUGCCCCGGCGGAGUCCUCGAGCGGGUCCCCCGGCGCAUCCCUCCCGUCGAGUCCUUCCAACCGCCACUCUGAAACAGCCAGGGUGGAAGCAAGUCCUGCGGGGGCUCUGUCACGCUCCCGUCCCGGCUCCAUUCGCGGCCAUCUGCCGCGGCCUAAUUCUACUCUGCCGUCUAUCAAACGGUAGCCACAGUCAGCCAGGGCAGGGGAUGCUCUCAAACACUAAAUAAGGCAAAACAACUAAGAAACAGCAAUAACUACAAGAACUAUAAAUGAUAACAACACCAUCUACCUGAAGGUCGUAGAGCUUUGUCCUCUUUUCUAUUGCGCUCAGGAGACAGCACUGACUGCAGUGGGUUUUUUACCAAAAACUGGAUUGCAAAUUGGACUGAUCACCCUUCUCUGCAAAGGGAUAGAAGAGGAGAAAUCUUACUUUUUCCUCAGCCUCUUCAUUUCCUUGUAAUCAUCCUUAUGCUGCCCAGUAGACAGACGAAGUACAUGGGCUACUCCAUCCUUUCUCAGCUCAGAGAGCUGAGGAUGAGUUUUUCUCAAUGCACUGCCUGCUCCUGCCGUGCCACAUAGCUUCUCUCAUUUCUUGAUUUUGAGAUGCCUCUUCAUAUAUACACAUCUACCCACACAUACAUAUGCACAUUUGCACAUUUUCUAUGUACCCUCAGAUUGCUCUAAUUUCUGUGUAUCAUUUCUUCUUGUUUAUGUGUUCUUUGUAAGACCCAGCACUUCGCAGGAUCUCAGGAGAGCCAUGCAGUAAACAGAGGAAAGUCCAUCUUCGCCUGCUCAUGUGUGGGCCAGGAUGAUGCACAGCCAAGGUUAACCCUCAUACAGGUAGAGAACAGGGAAGUCUUUUAAAUGUGUUUUGUCCUGAGCAACAUGAAGGACUCAGCUAAACUCUUUGCAGGAUUACAAACGUGAACUGACUACCCCUGCACUAAGGCAUUAUCUCCACCACAUCUCAUUCCUUCUUGUUUUCUUGGAAAUCAGUGCUAAAGCUUUGUUAUAAACAUUCUAUGCUUCCACAGCAAAAGAAACAUAAAUAUGUAAGUGAACCUGCUACUGCCAAUCUCUCAAUGUAAUUUUAUAAAUAUUUCUUACUGCUUGGAAAGAAGUGGAACUUUGGAAUAGAUGGAGGUUCUUUUGGAAAGCUUUCAGAAACAGGGAACCUUCCUCCCUUCUAAACUACAGUGGCAAUAAUAAUGGUGGUGACGAUGAUGAUGGAGCACAUAAAAAAUGGAUGUAAGGAAGGUCUGAAGACCCAGCUGAUGAACUAUGCCAUCUAGAGCCAUGUUUCCCCUUCUGAUGUCACAUCUCUGCCGUAGGUUGAGGUUAUGGCAGCGGCAUCUGAAAGUAACCUGCAUUUAAUAUUCACCACUUGCCUUCUUACUCCAAGAACAGAACAAAACCCUGCUCUCAGCAAUUUUUCUUGGGGGUAGUCUGAUUUCCAAGGCUCCUCACGGAGAGGAGCAGGGAGCACUGCCUGCCAGCCUCUCCUUGAGUUAGAAGAACACACCCACGCCCUCCCACUACUCCCUCCCCCUUUUUUUUUUUUUUUAAAUUGUUUUUCCUUUUUUCCUCCUUAAGCGACGCCUGCCCGGAGCCAUAGGGGCAGAGCUCGGCCCCGGGACGGCCGCAGGACGCCCCCGGGCGCUGCCCCGGCGGGGCCGGGCGGGAUGCGGGACGAUGCGGCCCCUCCGCCGGCACUGCCGCGACCCCUGGCGGCCGCGCACCGCGCAUCGCCCAGCGCAGCGCAAGCCCCGCUCCAGUCUCGCUCAAACCCGGCGCGGCAGAACACGAGAAACUUCCAAGUACGAGCCGUUUAGAAGCAAUGUUCCGAAUCAAAAAUAGCUUACAAAUGUCAUUCUAAAAUGUUUUGCAACGUAGAGCGUGAGAAGCGAUCCUUCCAUGCCUUCCCAGUGGGAAUCGAGGCUAUCUGUCUCAUGUAGAUUCAGAUCUGUAGAGUAUCAUUUGUGACACGAAAAUAUGGAGGGAAAUGAGCUACUACCUGCUUACUGCAGCUGUUGAGGCAGUCUGGGGCAUCAGUUUCACUCAGGGGCAAAUGGUCCUACUGUAGCAAGAGGCAGACUCAAGGUAUUGUCCAAUUUACAGACACAGGCCAGUCAUUUUCAAAAAGUUAAAAUUUAGUUUUUGAACUGGGAUGAUUAGACGCCAACAUUUCAUUUUAUUUCACUUAUCCUGUACUCAAGGUGGUGGCUAAGAAAGGUGUAGAGCACAGGUAAGUCAGGCAAUAAGCAAAGCAAGCUUCCCAGCAGAACAAGCACUGUCCCACUGUCUCCACCCUGAAGGGCUGUUCAAGCAGCAGGAUCUUCCCACUGAGAGAAGCAGAGGAGAAGCAAUGUGUCUGGUGCUUCAAGGCCUGGUGCACCGCGAUGACUGCCACACGGCAGGAAAGUGGAUGAGCCAGCCAGCAAGGUAAUACAUGCUCAGCCUACUAAUAUUUGUGGAUAAAAUGAAAAGAGCAGCUGUGACAGGAAAACUAAAGACAAAGAACACAUCAGAGAAAAGACACCUAAGGAUGCAAAAUCUUAAGGAAUCCUAAAUACAGGAAAACAAGAAUUAGAAAUGAAAACACCCGACUGUUUUUACCGUCUUAAACUACAGAAAAACACUGCCACCUCUGCAGAUACAACACAUGAGCCUGCAAGAUGAAGGCUAUUCUGUGGCUCACGUGUGGAUGUGAAGGAACAAAGACUACCCAAGCUCACCUGCAUGGAAACUGUGAAACUGCCUGGAAAAUUUGGGGAAUACUGAGCUGAGCAUUUUAUCAGGAAGACUGCCACCGAUUCUGAGUCGAAAUGAAGAAUGAGUUUCUAUUCAAACUUAAGUGAAGAGAAAUAAUUCUGCAACCUCAGAAGUUUAUAGAGCAAUAUGGAGAAGCACAGAAAGGAGACAAAUAGUUCAAAGUACAAUAGAACGGUGAAAACUGCUUUUUUUUUAUUUAUAAUGCAUUUUCUUCUGUUGCCUGUGCUCAUCCUUUUGUGUUCAGCUUAAAACAGUUGUUCAAACAAACUUCUUUAACAUUUUGUGGGCAAACACAAAAAUCAAUAGAUUUUUAUGUCUCCACGUGCACAUGGUUUUGUUCAAUUUAUUCAAGCACUCACCCUCUCAGAAAGUAAGAACAAUUUUGUCCAGCAAGCAAGAACUACAAACAGGUCCCAAGUGAUUAAGGGUUGGCUUUGAAGAACCUUUUUCUGGUGAAAACUUGUCAGCAGAAGCUGUGUUUGUUGGAUUCUUGACCGCAGGAUAUUUCUUCCUUGAGCCACAUGAAGUAGGAUGAAGGGCAGAGGAGACAGUGAUUUGGGAUAAACCUGGAGGACUGAGACUGCAGUUCCAGCCCAAAACCUAACUUGAAGGAGGGGAUAUGAGUCUGAUAAGGAACAGGAGGACAAAUCUUUCCAUCUUCUUAUAUGUGCCCAGAUCUGGAAUUUAGAAAGACCAAUAAAGGCAAGCAGUAGCUAAGUACAGGCAGGAAAAGGCAAUAACAACUCAUCUGAAGCAAUUACAAAUGUCGGAGCUAAAUCAGAAAAGCCCUAUCAGUGAAAGAGAAAGAUGGCUGAUCUUUCAAAAUGCUCCUGAAAAAUCCCUGCAAAAUAGGCACUAGAAAGCUGGCUUUGAAUCUGCUAGACUUACACAGAAAUUAUUGUGUCACAUAUAGACUCCUUACCUAAUGCAAUACAAAUCAAUAUAACACACACAGGUAUUCCAUGUUUCCUCAUCCAAAACUCUGCAUUUCCCUGUCAUGUUUCGGGGUUUGCAUCCUGUAGCACAUGAUUCCUACAUUUUCCUUAAUUUUAGAAACCUAGCAACCUAGUCAUACUAGCAACCCCUCUUCUGUCUGAGAAGGACAAGGCGGGGUUUUAACCAUCAAUGCUGCUGAGAGGUAGCAGUAAAGCUGGGGGAAAUGAACAUUCUACCCCUAGGGGGUAUGGAUUGGAGCUGGAAUGCCCAGGUUACACACAGAGUUGCCAUGCACUUCUGUCCUUUCUGAGAGCUGAAAUGUUUAGAAAGUGAUUAUAUUGGCAGGGAGGAAUUAGCAGACAUCACACUAACAGAUCGUGCUUUCUGAAUGUUCUAGAGGAAAAAGCUAAGGAGAGGUGGAGAGGUUUUGGGGACCAAAUUUAGCAGAACUGAAUUCCCUACUUUUUCAGUUUGCUUAACAGUGAGAAAAAACAUAGCAAAAUAGGUAUGUUAACAGGGUCAAAAAUUGCCUGAG